UACGUAGGUGGCAAGCGUUGUCCGGAUUUAUUGGGUUUAAAGGGUGCGUAGGCGGUCAUGUAAGUCAGUGCUGAAAUAUCCCGGCUUAACCGGGAGGGUGGCAUUGAUACUGUAUGACUUGAGUAAAGUUGAGGUUGGCGGAAUUGACGGUGUAGCGGUGAAAUGCUUAGAUAUCGUCAAGAACACCUAUUGCGAAGGCAGCUAACUAAGCUUUAACUGACGCUGAGGCACGAAAGUGUGGGGAUCAAACGGG
Molecule: ribosomal RNA, 253 nt
Filed under: uncultured bacterium
Lineage: Bacteria
Description: partial 16S ribosomal RNA
Rfam family: Bacterial small subunit ribosomal RNA
Source: RNAcentral